This 169-nucleotide ribosomal RNA is filed under the name uncultured bacterium. RNAcentral describes it as "partial 16S ribosomal RNA". It matches the Rfam family "Bacterial small subunit ribosomal RNA", at positions 338 to 524 of the family's 1533-position model. The record is from RNAcentral.
CCUACGGGAGGCAGCAGUGAGGAAUAUUGCACGAUGGAGGAAACUCUGAUGCAGCAACGCCGCGUGGAGGAUGACGCAUUUCGGUGUGUAAACUCCUUUUAUUAGGGAAGAUAAUGACGGUACCUAAUGAAUAAGCACCGGCUAACUCCGUGCCAGCAGCCGCGGUAAU